GCCGUAGGGCGCGCGCGUUGUCCGGAUUUAUUGGGCGUAAAGAGCUCGUAGGCGGCUUGUUACGUCGACUGUGAAAACCCGCGGCUCAACCGUGUGGCUUGCAGUCGAUACGGGCAGGCUAGAGUUCGGUAGGGGAGACUGGAAUUCCUGGUGUAGCGGUGAAAUGCGCAGAUAUCAGGAGGAACACCGGUGGCGAAGGCGGGACUCUGGGCCGAUACUGACGCUGAGGAGCGAAAGCGUGGGGAGCAAACAGG
RNAcentral lists this ribosomal RNA (254 nucleotides) under uncultured bacterium. RNAcentral's name for it is "partial 16S ribosomal RNA". It matches the Rfam family "Bacterial small subunit ribosomal RNA", at positions 524 to 776 of the family's 1533-position model. The record is from RNAcentral.